AUUGAACGCUGGCGGCAGGCCUAACACAUGCAAGUCGAGCGGCUCGGGGGAGGGGUACGGAAUGCCAAGGAAUCUGCCUGGUAGUGGGGGAUACGGUCCGGUACCGGGCGCUAAUACCACAUACUCUAGGCUGCACCUGGGUCGGAUUGGCUUGUUCGUGGGGUAAAGGCCUACCCAGGCGACGGUCCGUAGCUGGUCUGAGAGGAUGAUCAGUCACACUGGAACUGAGACACGGUCCAGACUCCUACGGGAGGCAGCAGUGGGGAAUAUUGCACAAUGGGCGAAAGCCUGAUCCAGCCAUGCCGCGUGUGUGAAGAAGGUCUGCGGAUUGUAAAGCACUUUAAGUUGGGAGGCGUUACCAACAGAAUAAGCACCGGCUAACUUCGUGCCAGCAGCCGCGGUAAUUC
This 407-nucleotide ribosomal RNA is filed under the name uncultured bacterium. Its description in RNAcentral is "partial 16S ribosomal RNA". It matches the Rfam family "Bacterial small subunit ribosomal RNA", at positions 30 to 526 of the family's 1533-position model. The record is from RNAcentral.